GAUGAACGCUAGCGGCAGGCCUAAUACAUGCAAGUCGAACGAGAUUAAGAGGCUUGCUUCUUAUGAAAGUGGCGCACGGGUGCGUAACGCGUAUGCAACCUACCUUAAUCAGGGGGAUAGCCCGAAGAAAUUCGGAUUAAGACCGCAUAAAAACACAGGAUAGCAUUAUCCAAUGUUCAAAUAUUUAUAGGAUUAAGAUGGGCAUGCGUGUCAUUAGCUAGUUGGCGGGGUAACGGCCCACCAAGGCGACGAUGACUAGGGGAUCUGAGAGGAUGACCCCCCACACUGGAACUGGGACACGGACCAGAGUACUACGAGAGGCAGCAGUAAGGAAGAUUAGUCAAUGGAGGGGACUCUGAAGCAGCCAUGCCGCGUGCAGGAAGACAGCCCUCUGGGUCGUAAACUGCUUUUAUUCGGGAAUAAACCUUUCUACGUGGAGGAAGCUGAAGGUACCGAAGGAAUAAGGAUCGGCUAACUCCGUG
This 482-nucleotide ribosomal RNA is filed under the name uncultured bacterium. RNAcentral's name for it is "partial 16S ribosomal RNA". It matches the Rfam family "Bacterial small subunit ribosomal RNA", at positions 28 to 507 of the family's 1533-position model. The record is from RNAcentral.